CCUACGGGAGGCAGCAGUGGGGAAUAUUGCACAAUGGGGGAAACCCUGAUGCAGCGACGCCGCGUGAGUGAAGAAGUAUUUCGGUACGUAAAGCUCUAUCAGCAGGGAAGAAAAUGACGGUACCUGACUAAGAAGCCCCGGCUAACUACGUGCCAGCAGCCGCGGUAAUACGUAGGGGGCAAGCGUUAUCCGGAUUUACUGGGAGUAAAGGGAGCGUAGACGGCAGCGCAAGUCUGGAGUGAAAUCCCAUGGCUUAACCAUGGAACUGCUUUGGAAACUGUGCAGCUAGAGUGCAGGAGAGGUAAGCGGAAUUCCUAGUGUAGCGGUGAAAUGCGUAGAUAUUAGGAGGAACACCAGUGGCGAAGGCGGCUUACUGGACUGUAACUGACGUUGAGGCUCGAAAGCGUGGGGAGCAAACAGGAUUAGAUACCCGAGUAGUC
Molecule: ribosomal RNA, 440 nt
Filed under: uncultured bacterium
Lineage: Bacteria
Description: partial 16S ribosomal RNA
Rfam family: Bacterial small subunit ribosomal RNA
Source: RNAcentral